Molecule: small nuclear RNA, 195 nt
Filed under: Ipomoea nil (Japanese morning glory)
Lineage: Eukaryota; Viridiplantae; Streptophyta; Magnoliopsida; Solanales; Convolvulaceae
Description: U2 spliceosomal RNA
Rfam family: U2 spliceosomal RNA
About the family: U2 is a small nuclear RNA (snRNA) component of the spliceosome (involved in pre-mRNA splicing). Complementary binding between U2 snRNA (in an area lying towards the 5' end but 3' to hairpin I) and the branchpoint sequence (BPS) of the intron results the bulging out of an unpaired adenosine, on the BPS, which initiates a nucleophilic attack at the intronic 5' splice site, thus starting the first of two transesterification reactions that mediate splicing.
Source: Rfam by way of RNAcentral
AUACCUUUCUCGGCCUUUUGGCUAAGAUCAAGUGUAGUAUCUGUUCUUAUCAGUUUAAUAUCUGAUACGUGAGCCAUCGGUUCACAUGAUAUUAACUUAAUCUUUCAAGGGGAAGGCUCAUUAAGGUAGCUUGCUACUUGGGCCUUCGUGAGUCGCCUUGGUAUUGCACUAUUACCUUGGCCUGGCUCGCCCUGC